AUGGGUGGCAAAACCAGAGUCCCCAGUGCUCCGAGGUGAAAUAUACGCACGGUGGAGCCCUCUCAGCCGGUCUCCACCAAACCAGCUCACAGGAGGAAGGACACUCCCUUUCUGUCAGGAAAGCACCCUGGCACAGGCCGCUCUCUGCUACGUCGAAACACUUCUGCUUCCAACAGGAGAGAUGAAACAGAAAUUGGAAGUGACAGACAUACAUUAUGGAUGCAGUUUAUGAAAGAAAGAAGAUGUGAAACUCCAAUCAGCAGACCCAUAUUCAAAAGAAAAGGCCCUGGCCCUACAUCAAAAGAAUGGCAAAUGAAUGUACAUUUAUCUGUUUUAAGUUAAACUAAAAUGUUUAAGGAUGAAUAUUCCAUGGUAGCAACAGCAGGGGCUCAAAGUACAACUCCACCACUCCCAACUAUAAGAUGCUGAAGCAAGUCACUUAACCUCUUGGGAGUUUCCAUUCCUACCUCUGGAAAAGGGGAAGAAUCACAGCUAACUCCCUCAAGCUUUCUGCAAGGAAUCAGAUGAGACGCUGGGUGUGAGCAGCAUGCCUGGUGCUGCGGGAGGUCACCAGAGCACCCUUCCCGAGGGCCACAGAGCUGCAGUGCUGAAGCCACUCCCUCCCCGGAGGCCUCCGGCUUCCUCGUCAGUGUUCCGCUGGACUUCGGGGACAGAAAUUUUUGCUUGUGUUCUUUUUAUGGUGAAAAAUUCUCAAACAUUUACAAAAGCAGAAAGAAGUGAAUAAUGAAUGCCCAAGUGUCCAUCCAGCUUCAGCAAUGAUCAAUUCAUGGCCAUACUUAUCUCUACUACAUUCCUGCCCAUCCUCUCCCCAAGAUGAUUCUGGAACCAACCCUAGAAGCCAAUCGUAUCAUCUAUAAAGUAUUUUACUAUAUCUCUCUAGAAGAUUUGUUUUUUGUUUGUUUGUUUGUUUGUUUUAAACAGAGAGCAUCUUACUAUGUUGCUCA
Molecule: long non-coding RNA, 965 nt
Organism: Macaca mulatta (Rhesus monkey)
Lineage: Eukaryota; Metazoa; Chordata; Mammalia; Primates; Cercopithecidae
Source: RefSeq, a predicted model, not a curated record